CACGUAGUUAGCCGGUGCUUCUUCUGCGGGUACCGUCAUCCGGCCAGACUAUUCGCCUGACCGAUUUCUUCCCCGCCGAAAGGGCUUUACAACCCGAAGGCCUUCUUCACCCACGCGGCAUUGCUGGAUCAGGCUUGCGCCCAUUGUCCAAGAUUCCCCACUGCUGCCUCCCGUAGGAGUCUGGGCCGUGUCUCAGUCCCAGUGUGGCGGAUCGUCCUCUCAGACCCGCUACCGAUCGUCGCCUUGGUGGGCCUUUACCCCACCAACUAGCCUAAUCGGACAUCGGCCGCUCCGAGAGCGCGAGGCCCGAAGGUCCCCCGCUUUGCUCUUCCGAGUUCAUGCGGUAUUAGCCAGCCUUUCGGCCGGUUAUCCCCCUCUCCCGGGUACGUUCCGAUGCAUUACUCACCCGUUCGCCACUCGCCGGCACCCCGAAGGGCCCGCUGCCGUUCGACUUGCAUGUGUAAGGCAUGCCGCCAGCGUUCAAUCUGAGCCAGGAUCAAACUCU
RNAcentral lists this ribosomal RNA (505 nucleotides) under uncultured Tepidiphilus sp. Its description in RNAcentral is "partial 16S ribosomal RNA". The record is from RNAcentral. Lineage: Bacteria; Pseudomonadati; Pseudomonadota; Hydrogenophilia; Hydrogenophilales; Hydrogenophilaceae.